CGAGGUAAUUUGUUUUUUUAUUGGAUUCUAGUAUGAAUGGAUUUUUUGUUAUUAAAUAUAUUGAUUUUAAAAAGAAUUUUAAAUUUAUUUAAAAAAUAAUAAAUAAAAUAAAACUAAGAAAAGUCUUUAGAAAUUUAUUAUUUAAUUUAAUUAGGGAAAUAAAAUAAUUAAUAUUUUUUUCUUAAUCAAAAAAAAAAAUUUCUCUAGAGUUAACAGGAAUAAAUAUUAAUUUAUUAUUUUUACAUCGAUGUUGUUUUAUUUAAUAUUAAAAAUGAGAAACUUUUGAGUGAGAGACUGUUCUUCUUUUUUUAAUACGUGAAAUUAGUUUAAUU
RNAcentral lists this ribosomal RNA (332 nucleotides) under Meloidogyne ethiopica. RNAcentral describes it as "partial 16S ribosomal RNA". Lineage: Eukaryota; Metazoa; Nematoda; Chromadorea; Rhabditida; Meloidogynidae. The record is from RNAcentral.